GGCGAACGGGUGAGUAGCACGUGAGUAACCUGCCCUUGACUUUGGGAUAACUUCAGGAAACUGGGGCUAAUACCGGAUAGGAGCUCCUGCUGCAUGGUGGGGGUUGGAAAGUUUCGGCGGUUGGGGAUGGACUCGCGGCUUAUCAGCUUGUUGGUGGGGUGGUGGCUUACCAAGGCUUUGACGGGUAGCCGGCCUGAGAGGGUGACCGGCCACAUUGGGACUGAGAUACGGCCCAG
RNAcentral lists this ribosomal RNA (236 nucleotides) under uncultured Actinomycetales bacterium. RNAcentral's name for it is "partial 16S ribosomal RNA". It matches the Rfam family "Bacterial small subunit ribosomal RNA", at positions 97 to 334 of the family's 1533-position model. The record is from RNAcentral. Lineage: Bacteria; Bacillati; Actinomycetota; Actinomycetes; Actinomycetales.